AAGAGCUUUAAAAACAUUACAUAAAAGACUGACUUUUAAUCAGUAGGUCCAGGGUUCGAAUCCCUGCGCUCUCACCA
RNAcentral lists this transfer RNA (77 nucleotides) under Agrobacterium tumefaciens 5A. Its description in RNAcentral is "tRNA-OTHER". It matches the Rfam family "tRNA", at positions 13 to 71 of the family's 71-position model. Rfam says of the family: Transfer RNA (tRNA) molecules are approximately 80 nucleotides in length. The record is from RNAcentral. Lineage: Bacteria; Pseudomonadati; Pseudomonadota; Alphaproteobacteria; Hyphomicrobiales; Rhizobiaceae.